Molecule: ribosomal RNA, 497 nt
Filed under: uncultured bacterium
Lineage: Bacteria
Description: partial 16S ribosomal RNA
Rfam family: Bacterial small subunit ribosomal RNA
Source: RNAcentral
GACGAACGCUGGCGGCGUGCCUAAUACAUGCAAGUUGAGCGAUGAAGCUUGGUGCUUGCACCAAUUUGCAGAGCAGCGAACGGGUGAGUAACGCGUGGGGAAUCUGCCUUUGAGCGGGGGACAACAUUUGGAAACGAAUGCUAAUACCGCAUAAUAACUUUAAACAUAAGUUUUAAGUUUGAAAGAUGCAAUUGCAUCACUCAAAGAUGAUCCCGCGUUGUAUUAGCUAGUUGGUGAGGUAAAGGCUCACCAAGGCGAUGAUACAUAGCCGACCUGAGAGGGUGAGCGGCCACAUUGGGACGGAGACGCGGCCCAAACUCCUACGGGAGGCAGCAGUAGGGAAGCUUCGGCAAUGGAAGAAAGUCUGACCGAGCAACGCCGCGUGAGUGAAGAAGGUUUUCGGAUCGUAAAAAUCUGUUGGUAGAGAAGAACGUUGGUGAGAGUGGAAAGCUCAUCAAGUGACGGUAACUACACAGAAAGGGACGGCUAACUACGUG